GAAAGUUAAAAAUCGUAACAAGGUUUCCGUAGGUGAACCUGCGGAAGGAUCAUUAAAAGAAAUUGGUUAUACAUUUCAUGUAUCAACUGUUUAAACCCAUUCUGUGUACCUUGCCUGUUGCUUCCAUGGAGCCUGACUUUGGUCACUCUUGUGAUGUAAAUCCCAAGGGAGUCCCCAUGGAAGGUCAUCAAUAAAACUCAUGUAUCCAAUGUCUUCUGUCUGAACUGUUUAUAACAAAUGUUAAAACUUUCAACAACGGAUCUCUUGGUUCUCGCAUCGAUGAAGAACGCAGCGAAAUGCGAUAAGUAUUGUGAAUUGCAGAAUUCAGUGAAUCAUCGAAUCUUUGAACGCACAUUGCGCCUCCUGGUAUUCCGGGAGGCAUGCCUGUUCGAGCGUCAUUAAAUACCUCUCAAGCACCAUUGCUUGGUCAUGGAAGAUGAGUAUGCUUGCAUUCUCCCUUCUGAAAUUCAAAGGCGGAUCAUCUCAUAUUCCCUGGCGUAGUAAGUGUUUAUCUUUCGCUUGGAGUGUGUGACAGUCUUGCCAUCGACCCCCAUUAUUUCAAGGUUGACCUCGGAUCAGGUAGGGAUACCCGCUGAACUUAAGCAUAUCAAUAGCCGGGAAGGAA
This 625-nucleotide ribosomal RNA is filed under the name Wilcoxina mikolae. Its description in RNAcentral is "eukaryotic LSU rRNA". The stretch from base 245 to 398 matches the Rfam family "5.8S ribosomal RNA". Lineage: Eukaryota; Fungi; Ascomycota; Pezizomycetes; Pezizales; Pyronemataceae. The record is from RNAcentral.